AGUUAAGUAAAAAUGAACACAUGUCCUUACGAACUCGCCCAUGCAGAAAAAUAAAAUUACAAUCCAAUCCUUGAGGGAGCCUAUAAGUCUUCUUUCUCCUGCAUCCAUCAGUGGUGCGCUGUGUGCAUAGCUCGAUGCUGCCUCUCGGACUCCGCCUCGAGGGAGCAAACAUUUUUUACUCGGGAACUUGUAGACUAGGAGAAGAAAAUGCCGAGAAGAGCUCAUAGAAACUCCAAGGACCAUGCGUUUCGACCGAAUCUGGACGGAUCCAUCAAAAACCUAAACCGAUCGGAUCACAAAAAACCCGCCGCAGACACAACUCCAUACGCCCUUUGCAUGCCGGGGCAGCAUACCCUGUUACGCGUUCACCUGAGGGUAGUUACGAUCGAAUGUGAAGUCCCGCCUGAACCUGAGGAGAGCCGAGGCUUGGCCUGGGAGACAUGGAGCUGGGGUGGUGGUUUGGUUGCUGUAUGCUGCGGCAGAGGUGAGGGACGAGCGGAGAACUUGUGAAGAAGGUCGAGCAGCAGCAAAAGGUUACCGGAACUAGCUAUGGGAGCC
Molecule: ribosomal RNA, 558 nt
Filed under: Triticum aestivum (bread wheat)
Lineage: Eukaryota; Viridiplantae; Streptophyta; Magnoliopsida; Poales; Poaceae
Description: partial small subunit ribosomal RNA
Source: RNAcentral